UACGUAGGAUGCAAGCGUUGUCCGGAAUUAUUGGGCGUAAAGCGAACGUAGGCGGCCUGGUAAGUUUGGUCUUAAAGACCGGGGCUCAACCCCGGGAAUGGACCGAAUACUGUCAGGCUGGAGUACGCUAGAGGAUGGUGGAAUUCCAAGUGUAGCGGUGAAAUGCGUAGAUAUUUGGAGGAACACCGGUGGCGAAAGCGACCAUCUGGGGCGUUACUGACGCUGAGGUUCGAAAGCUCGGGGAGCAAACAGG
This 253-nucleotide ribosomal RNA is filed under the name uncultured bacterium. RNAcentral describes it as "partial 16S ribosomal RNA". It matches the Rfam family "Bacterial small subunit ribosomal RNA", at positions 524 to 776 of the family's 1533-position model. The record is from RNAcentral.